AUGGGUUGUUCUCCUUUCUUCUGCUAUAAAAGUGGGGCAACACGCCAGCAAAUUUCUACGCAUACUGAAGACCUCCCUGGUGAUAUUAAUACAAUAAGAUACACUUAUAAGGAGCUAGCAAGGGCAACAGAAAAUUUUAACCCAUCCAACAAGAUUGGUGAGGGGGGUUUUGGAUCUGUAUAUAAGGGGCGGCUAAGGAAUGGAAAACUUAUUGCUGUCAAGGUGUUAUCUGUAGAAUCAAGACAAGGACUAAAGGAGUUUCUGAAUGAACUGAUGUCAAUUUCCAACAUAUCUCAUGGCAAUCUUGUCAGCCUUUAUGGCUAUUGUGUGGAAGGAAACCAGAGGAUCCUUGUCUACAAUUACCUUGAGAAUAAUAGCCUUGCACAAACACUUCUAGGUUCUGGCCGCAGCAAUAUCCAGUUCAAUUGGAGAAGUAGAGUAAAUAUUUGCCUUGGUAUCGCCCGAGGAUUAGCAUACCUCCAUGAUGAUGUCAAUCCCCACAUUGUUCAUCGGGAUAUCAAAGCAAGCAAUAUACUUCUUGAUAAGGAUCUCACCCCCAAAAUUUCUGAUUUCGGUUUAGCAAAGCUUCUACCUCCAAAUGCGUCACAUAUUAGCACACGGGUUGCAGGAACAUUAGGUUACUUGGCUCCUGAGUACGCCAUUCGAGGACAAGUGACACGGAAGUCAGAUGUUUAUAGUUUUGGUGUUUUGCUUCUGGAAAUAGUCAGUGGGAGAUCCAACACCAGUUCAAGAUUACCCUAUGAAGAUCAGAUACUUCUGGAAAAGUUCCCAGAGGUUACCAACGGGGUUCUCCUCUUGCAGACAUGGAUGUAUUAUGAGCAGGGAGAUUUGGCGAAAAUCAUAGACAGUUCUGCGGGUGAUGAUUUGGAUAUUGAACAAGCCUGCAGGUUCCUGAAAGUUGGACUUCUCUGUACACAAGAUGUCACAAGACAUCGACCCACUAUGUCAACUGUCGUCAGCAUGCUAACAGGCGAAAAGGAUGUUGACUCGGAGAAGAUCAGCAAGCCCGCUACAAUUAGCGACUUUAUGGACCUUAAGAUCAGGAGCAUGAGGAGAGAAAAUAACAUUGCUUUCGCUUCAUCCUCCACGUUGCUAUCCACUAUCAUGGCACACUCUUCUCCUUUGUUGUCACAAGAGACGACACAAGCCUCCAUAACAUUCACCGCAAUAUCAGAGCGUGAGUGA
RNAcentral lists this ribosomal RNA (1206 nucleotides) under Triticum aestivum (bread wheat). RNAcentral's name for it is "partial small subunit ribosomal RNA". The record is from RNAcentral. Lineage: Eukaryota; Viridiplantae; Streptophyta; Magnoliopsida; Poales; Poaceae.